UACGUAGGGUGCGAGCGUUAAUCGGAAUUACUGGGCGUAAAGCGUGCGCAGGCGGUUUUGUAAGCCAGAUGUGAAAUCCCCGGGUUUAACCUGGGAAUGGCAUUUGGGACUGCAAGGCUCGAGUGCGGCAGAGGAGACUGGAAUUCCUGGUGUAGCAGUGAAAUGCGUAGAUAUCAGGAGGAAUACCGAUGGCGAAGGCAGGUCUCUGGGCUGACACUGACGCUCAUGCACGAAAGCGUGGGGAGCAAACAGG
Molecule: ribosomal RNA, 253 nt
Filed under: uncultured bacterium
Lineage: Bacteria
Description: partial 16S ribosomal RNA
Rfam family: Bacterial small subunit ribosomal RNA
Source: RNAcentral